This is a long non-coding RNA of Apis cerana (Asiatic honeybee), 7498 nucleotides long. RefSeq lists it as uncharacterized. Lineage: Eukaryota; Metazoa; Arthropoda; Insecta; Hymenoptera; Apidae. The record is from RefSeq and is a predicted model, not a curated record.
CUCUUCAUCUUUCUCUCUCUCCCCUUCUCUUUAUUUUGCGGUAAAUCAACAACCGCAGAAUGGAGAAAGUUCGGCGGAUAUUUGAACGGAGGAACAACGUACUGUACUGUUGUGCCGUUAAUAAUAAACGCGGUUAAUAAUAAACCACGAAUCGCACGGUGUUGCUGAAAGUUUCGAGUGUCGAAUAUAUGUAUGUAUGUAUAUAUAUAUAUACGCAAUGGUAGAUGGACGGUCGCUGGCUUCGACUAUUGUAAUUUGAGGAUGUACAUUGCGUUCUAUAUUCUAUGUUACCGAUGCUUGGUCUACGAUGCAAUUUUCUUCCUACGCGGACGGAGUGAUGUUCAAAACGCGAAAUUUUCUUAAUAAAAUGUCUUGUAAAUUCUCUUAUUCUUUUGUGUAAUAAGUUCUUUUUUAGUAUCUUUUUUUAGUUUUUCGACAAGUGAGAGAAUAUUAAUUCCAGUACAAGUUUACGCGCGGCUGAAGCAUAUCGAAAUAUUAGGUUAGUUUUCGAAGUAGAUUCUACAAAUGAGAGGAUCGUUCAAAAAUUCAUGUUAAAAUAAAAAUAAAUUGAAAAACAAAGUAAAAGCACUAUCUCGAAUAACAGUUAUUAGACGUUUGGAUGCAAUGAAUAAAAUGAAAAAGUUGGAAAAGUGGAUACCGCAUCGAUCGACAGAGGAUCAAAAGUUGCAGUGUUUGGAAGUGUAAAGUUCUACAGAAUAGAAAAUCAUUUUUGAAUAAAAUUAUAAUUUCGUAUACGAUCUGGAUAAUGGUUGGACGUUAAUGAAAAAUUCUGAAUGAAAUCAUCAUUACGAUGAUGAAAAACGUUACGGUAUAGUAAUAAAGGAAAUAAUUUUUUGAAACAAGAAGACAUCAUAACCUAUUCUUUUGCUCGACAUCAUAAAUACUCAUCAGAUAUUUCACUAACUACUCGACAUUGGAAAAGUUGUUAUCAAAGCAGCAUUCGAAAAAUUUUUUCGGGUCUAAAACCACGAAGUUGGAUAAAAUAUAUAUUGUUUUUUUUUCGACUAUCAAAAAACGGCAAUUUCGUGCGGCAAGGCCUAAUAGUUAUUCUAGCGAAGUAGUAGUCAUCUUUCAAAAAACUGAAGUUGAACGAGAAAAUUUCUUAUAUUGUUUUUACUUUCGAUACUUCGGAACUUUAUACUUUAAGACAUUUAUCGAUGUUAAGAGUUGAGCGUGAAGUGAAUCGUAAAUUUAUUUCUGUGCCUACGAAAAAAUUGGGUAGAAAGAACAAUUCGUUUCGCGUUCAAGUGUAAAUAUAUUCGUACUGGUGAUCCCAAUUCAAGUAAUCAACCGAGUGAUGAACAAUUAACCAAACUAUCAAACUUAUCUCUAAAUCUCUAGCUACGCUCUGAUCCAUCGCGAUAAACAAUAUAACUCGUUAAAUGAUCAUCCGGCUUACCAAUAUCUUGAACGCAAUAAAACAUUUUCAUUUAUACACUUACAUCGAUAUAUCAAUAUUGCAACGUGAAUCACCAAUCAAUAAUUAAUUCCGCGCGAAUGAAGAAAAUAAUUUCGAUUACUUCGUAUCAUUUUCAUCCCAUCUUUAAAAUUCUACAAAAAAUUCGAGCAUUAAGUAGGUUAAAAAAGUUAAAAUAAUUAAUUAUUAACCCUCCCUGUCAAGAACUUCCUCUUCCUGUUAACAGAUCGGAGAUUCUUCCGUGAAGGAAAUUCUCCCGUGAAAAAUAUCGAAAAAGAAAAGAAAGAAUAAGUAAAAACGAAGGAAAGGGGAGGGGGAGGGGAACGGCUAGCCGAGAGCCGGGAGAGAUGGAGAAGAAGGAGGGGUCCAAAGUACGCGCUGUUGCUCAUGUCGGUCGCGUUAGCAGCUGCGUGGGUCGUUACUCGUUCCUCGUGGUUUAUUCGUGGCCUCUAAGUGGCAAAGUGCAUCGAAACCAGUGCAACCUCGCAUAAUCUUGCGCCACGGAAUUUCGCCUUCCCCGCGGACGAGGAACCAGCCUUAAUUCGUCUCGAAAGUAAUCCUCGACAUUGGAGCCACACUCGACGUACCAGUCCUAAGGAUUAAACGACAUCCAUCCCACCACGUCGAUCGUCGUCGUGAGAUUGCCUCGGAUAUAAUUCGAAUUGUUGCAACGUCUUUCGAAAACGUCGUUGCGUUGCGCGACGCUGGAAUUCUGGACAAAUAUAGAUCGAGAUUUAGAAGGAUAUAACGUACACUUCCCGAAGUGGGGAAAGGAAUUAUAGAAGAAUCACGAACUUUUUCUCCCCCUCCCCCAUCCUACUCUUCAAUUCAAUCAAAUUAUUUCGUGGAAAAAUAUUCGAAAUAUUUUUUGACGAAACGAUCGAAAUAUGAAAAUAAGCAACCUCGAACCCUAAAAAAAUCAUCGAUCGUGCGAAAAAACGAAUUUGGGAAGAAAAAGGAGGAGAAAAAGAAAAAGAAAAAAAACGAGGGCAAAGUUAGAAAUGUCCAAGCAAUGUACAAACGUAAUCGGGCAAGUAUCGGGAAAAACUUUCGAAAACUUCCGUUGAUUGCCAAUGACGAAACCGUGAAAACUCCCUUUACAAUCUCUCUCUCUCUCUCUCUCUCUCUCAGCUAUUCGCCACUCUCGUCGUCGUGACUUCUCUUUAUAGUCGAGGAGGAGGGAGAGAAAUCGGAGGAUCUCUUUCGAGGGGACAACAAUGACGAAUCGUAUUUUCGCGGGCAAAUAAGGAGAGGUCGAGACGAGUAUUUGAGGAGAGACUUCUCGACGAUCUCCCUCCCUCCUCUGGAUUUAUUUCUUUCCUAACUUCUUUCCAGAGUAUACCGGAUUUCGGGCAAGAAUUUUACCGCGAAUCUUUCUUCAGUCGGAGUAUUUGAGAUUCUCGAUAGAAAAGAAUUGUUUCGAGUUUCGACGAGAAAAAAAGUGUUCAAAACGGAUAGCAGAGACAUUGAAUAUCUACGAUAUUAUAAGUGAAUUGGAUAAGCGUGUCACUUUAAAAAGAUAAUAAAACUGAGGAUCAAGAUUGGCGGACUUCAAGAUGAAGAUUUGAAAAAAAAAAGUUAUAAUAUUUUAUUUAAAUAAUUAUUUAAAUUGAAAAAAAGAAACUCUUUACGUACAUAUGUAUUUUUUAAUAUGUUUAUAUUCCGAGUGUUAUUAUUUUGUUUAUAAUAUAAGCUAUGGACAUGCCUGUUAUGGAUAUUGAUUUUCGUUUUAUUAAGGUUUUUUUAAGGAUGUUUAAAAUUAUUUGUUUAUCAUUACGUAUUUAUUCGUUUACCAAAUUAUCAACGUAUUACAAAUAAACGCGUCGAAUAAAUUUUUGAAUUAAAAUUUUUCUACCAUUUUUUCCUCUUCUUCGAUCAACUUCCUUAUUGCUUUCCCGUGGUAAUUUUGUUUUUCCACGCGUGUGGAAUGUUUUCUAAAGAUGCUGGACGGAAUUUCUCGAGAUUUUUGUGAAACACGUAUUAUUGCCUUUUUCUUUCUUUUUUCCCAUUAAAACAGGAUUUUUAAACGUAAAAAUAAUCGUUAUUGCGCAUAUUGACAAUUAAGAAAAGAGAAAAUUAAUCCUCGUUUUUUACAAAUUAUUUUGCGCGAGAUAAAAGAAACCCCCAAAUCGUGUAUUUCAACUUUCUUUCUAUUCGAUAAAAUCGUAAAUGAAAUUCUAUUUAUUCUCGUGGAGAGAUGCUUACGUAAAAAAAGAAAAAGAAAAAAAAAAUGUACGUACCUAUUGUUGAACAACAAAUUCAUCGGUCCAUAAACGCGGUCAACGAUUAAAGUAACAUUGUUUCAUCGAGCAUCCCAACGUAUACGUUCGAAUCGAUUAAAAAUAUGCCGUAUAUGCUUUACACUAUACUCGUUUCCAACUCUGUAUCGUCCAUGUUUAAUUACACGCUUGGCGUUAAAAAAACUUCAAAGAUCAUUCGACGAAGGACAUAUAACGUCGUUCCGUCCUCUUGUAAAAUUGUACACCACUAGAAAAAACUCUUUCACCUAUCGACGGAUCCUUUAAUUUUAAAAAAUUCGUUUCUAUCCACGAAACGAAAACGAGAGAAAUAAAAAUAAAAAUAAAAAUCUCAUUGGAAGAAGCAUAUACGGUUCCAAGUACUUCCGUCAGACGGCUUCCGUCACAUUUCGCGCACGUGUGUUCACGAUCCCAGUUAUGGUUAACGUUUCGAUCAAGAAUCCACUUUGAACUUAAUUGAUCGUGAAUCGAGUCAGCGAUUCCCUUUGCCCAAUGUCGCAAUGCGAUCGAAAAAUUCUUUCGCUACGAGUCGAUCCGUUCUUCUUAAAAUUCGAAGGAAAUUCUUUCGAGAUUCAAAUAUACUUUUUCGAUUAUUCCUCCUCUAAUCUAAUCAAAAAUAUUCCAUAUUCACUUGCGUAGAACGAUUGAAAUUAUAUCAGUUCGUCAUACAAAAAGAUCGAAAAUAUUAAUCUAAAUAUCUUUCUCGUAAUCGAAAAACGAUGCAUUCGAGAUCGCAAGAAUCAGAAAAUCCAAAAGUUUGUUUCAUUGAUCGCCAAAUCUGAGACGAUAUAAUCUUGGUGUCAAUCUUAAUUAUUAAUUACCUCAAAUUGGUCAUAUUUCAUAAACUCCUUCCAACUUGAAAUCCAUCUAAAUCCCUCCCCAUAAUCAUGAUUCCAACGAAAGAGAGAGAGAGAGAGAGAGAGAGAGAGAGAGAGAGAGAGAGAGAGAGAGAGAGAGAGAGAGAGAGAGAGAGAGAGAGAGAGAGAGAGAGAGAGAGAGAGAGAGAGAGAGAGAGAGAGAGAGAGGGUGAAGCAAAUACUAAAAUCUCCUAUGACUCGAGCCACAGAAAUUGAGGCUUUCCUGUUAUUCGUCGCAUUAUCUGCCCCAACUGGGAGCACGUUUAACUCGGCUAAUGAUUAAUUAACGCACGUGUGCACCACAUGGAGGCAUUCCUUUUUAGGAAAGUCAAGGUAGCCUUGGUUUGGUGAUGGGUUUGGGUCCUCGAGAGAACGGUUCAACGAUUUCGCGAUUUCUAUUUUUUAGUGGGAAGGAUUGCAAACGAAUGAUUUCGAAAAUGGGUGGAAAUUUUCGUUGGAGAAGAAAUCGGGGGAUACGCUCGAUCGAUGGAGAAGACGAAGCGUUCUUUCCUUCCUUCUGCUCGACCAGUUGGGGAUAUUUUUCAGCUUCCGAUAUAGCUUGCUCUAUUUUCUUCUUCUGCUUACUUUAUAUCGGAUCGGUGGAAUAGGAGAAAGUUGGGAACAGCGAUAAAUCGUAGGUCCGAGGGAUUUUUACGAAGCCGAUAAGUCGAGUCGAGAUUGGACAGAGAGAGAAAGAGAGAGAGAGAGAUCGUCGGAUCGGUUUCGUCAUGCGCAAGCUGUUUCUAUUUAUUUAAAAAUAGAAAAAUGAUAUAUUAUAAUUUAUCUUGAAUUUCUGAAUCUUUAAUUUUUGAGAACGAAUUGAUAGGAUAGGAUCGAUUGGAAGGAUAACAUCUUUAAUUUAAAAGUGGAAAAAUUAUAUACUCUGAAUUAUUUUAAAUUUCUAAAUUUCCAAGAUUAAGAUAUUUUUGAGAACGAAAGGAUCGACGGAUAGAAUCAUCAAGACGAAAUGAAAGAUUGUCGGAUCGUUUUUAUCAUGGGCAAGCAUUUUUUAUUUCGAAGAAAAAUUAUAUAUUCUAAAUGAAUUGUUUUAAAUUUCUAAAUCUGUCAUUUAGAUAUUUUUCAGAACGAAAGGAUCAAUGGAUAGGAUAAUCGAAAAAAUAAAUCGCCAUUUUUUAUUCUCAUGCCGUUUAAUAGUAAUAAUAUCUUGGUCUUGGUAUUCACGGAUAAAAAUACUUACAAAUCAAGUUCGGUUAACUUACACAUCGAGUGAACGAGAGAUCGCCGUUCGUCGUCGAUAAGGAAGACCGUUGGAAAAAGUAACGACGAGCGGCGUGUAACAGCAAGCGUUCGCGAUCCGCGCACAUUUACGAAAAUAUGACCGUCUCUAUUUUUGAAGAAACGGCAACGUUUCUUAAACGUGGUUAAACGUGGCAACGGAGCCCGAUUCGUUCGUUCUUACAAUCUUAACUAGGACGAAAACAAAAACUGGUGAAUAUGUUGCGGUGAUGGUGACCUCGAAGGACAAAACAAGAGAGAAACUAGGGCUAAGGGGAGGAAGGGUGGACGUGUAUCGAUGCACAGAAAUUAGAUCCGUCAAAUUUUCAUCGCGGUUUAUUAAACAUUAUCGACAGAACGAUCUAUAACAGACACGGAAGAAACGGAUAAAAAGGAUAACUCCCGGAGCGACGUGUUCGCCGAUUCCAUCCACGCGGAAACGUCAAUUUUCGUCAAAUCGAAUAUUCAAAAGAGUCUUUGCGCAAAUGUUUGCACGCUUGUUUGAUAACUUGUCCAACGAAAAUGAAACUUCGCUUUUCGUCCGAAACAUGGAUGAAAAUUCAAUCGCGAAUUAAAUCGUUCAUUGAAGGAUUCGAACGAACGAUAUAAUCUUCUCUCCCCCCCCUCCCCUCUUCCGUCCCUUUUUUUCUCGUUCGUUCGUAAAAUUUGUCGAGAAUAAAUACAGGUAUAUCACAGGUGUCGUAGACGGACCCAUAUUUUUUUCUCGUGGUUUAAAAAUUUGUCAAAAGACGGGUAAAUAUUUACGAGAAAAUCUCGAUGAUUCUUUUUAACGCGUGAUAAAUGCGUAAUCGCACUAAUCGUCAUUAAUUGUUUCAUUAAACUCAAACGUAAAUACAAAUCGUGAAAUCGAAUAAAUCCUUCCUUUCGAUUAGUUCCGAUAUUGUUUUCGAACCAAAAUUCGAACAAAAAAAUUUUAAUCCAAUAACUUUUCGAAAAAUCUUCGCCACCGCUACUCGUGCAAAAAAAAUCAUCUGAAUAUAUAUAUGUAGAUAUAAUUCGGCUACAAAAAAACGCCACAACAUUUAUAUUUUAUAUAGUUUCGAGGGAUAUUUUUUUUUAAAAUUUUCCAAAAAUUUGUUGGGGGAAAAAAAACAUACAAACCGGCAAUAUUUUCUCUCGCGUAACAGAAGACGGACAGGCUCUCGAGGAAUUCGAGAACGCGCCCCGAUAAGCUCGAAAACGUUCCAACGAUAAAAUACAUAUAUUACACCGUAUGUACACCGUAUCGCGGUUUCGAGAGGGAAAAGGCAGACUAUCGCGGCUUUUUUUCUUUUUUUUCUUUUUUAUUCUCGCGGCGAACAGGGGGCGGCGACGUGCCGAUCGAACCGACCGUUUUUUUCUCUCCUCCUCACCCCCCCGCCCCUCCGGAUUUUUGCGACGCUCGAGAAUUCGAGACAUCCCCCACCCCUCCGCAUGAAAAUAUUCUCGUUCACGGAUUCUCGACCGAUUGAUCAUUUUUCCAAAUCCGCAGGAUUUUCAAAAUCCCUUACAGUUUUUUCGUUUGUUUGUUUCGCGCAGGGACAAAAAAAAAAAAUUCUCGAUACGGAUCAAAUCCGUAUCCAGAAUCUCUUUCGACGUCCCACACGUUCGUUUCAUCUUGAAAACCAUUUUAUACAUCCUUUCGCUCUCGUUUUCGAUCGAACGAAAAGAAACGUCAAUGAUAUAUAUAUAUAUAUAUAAAAAGAAAA